UGCUUUACACAUGCAAGUCGAACGGCAGCACGGGGGCAACCCUGGUGGCGAGUGGCGAACGGGUGAGUAAUAUAUCGGAACAUGUCCGGAAGUGGGGGAUAACGUACCGAAAGGUACGCUAAUACCGCAUAUGCCCUGAGGGGGAAAGCGGGGGAUCGUAAGACCUCGCGCUUUCGGAGUGGCCGAUAUCAGAUUAGCUAGUUGGUGAGGUAAAGGCUCACCAAGGCGACGAUCUGUAGCUGGUCUGAGAGGACGACCAGCCACACUGGAGCUGAGACACGGUCCAGACUCCUACGGGAGGCAGCAGUGGGGAAUUUUGGACAAUGGGCGCAAGCCUGAUCCAGCCUCCGCGUGAGUGAAGAAGGCCUUCGGGUUGUAAAGCGC
Molecule: ribosomal RNA, 384 nt
Filed under: uncultured organism
Description: bacterial SSU rRNA
Rfam family: Bacterial small subunit ribosomal RNA
Source: RNAcentral